RNAcentral lists this ribosomal RNA (480 nucleotides) under uncultured bacterium. RNAcentral describes it as "bacterial SSU rRNA". It matches the Rfam family "Bacterial small subunit ribosomal RNA", at positions 62 to 543 of the family's 1533-position model. The record is from RNAcentral.
UCGAGCGAGGCGGGUAGCAAUACCCAGUCGAGCGGCGAACGGGUGAGUAACGCGUGGAUGACCUGCCUUGAGGUGGGGGAUAACUCGGGGAAACUCGAGCUAAUACCGCAUACGAUCGAGAGAUCAAAGCGGGCCGCAAGGCUCGCGCCACAAGAGGGGUCCGCGUCCGAUUAGCUAGUUGGUAGGGUAAUGGCCUACCAAGGCGACGAUCGGUAGCCGGCCUGAGAGGGUGAUCGGCCACACUGGAACUGAGACACGGUCCAGACUCCUACGGGAGGCAGCAGUGGGGAAUUUUGCGCAAUGGGCUAACGCCUGACGCAGCAACGCCGCGUGGAGGAUGAAGGUCUUUGGAUUGUAAACUCCUGUCAGCAGGGAAAAAGCGAACCGACCUAAUACGUCGGUGAGUUGAUUGUACCUGCAGAGGAAGCCCCGGCUAACUCUGUGCCAGCAGCCGCGGUAAUACAGAGGGGGCAAGCGUUA